UAUUCUAUUGAUAAAGGUAUAUGAAUCAAAAGGAAGAGAUAUAUAUUGCAAUACUCCAGAGCUCAAAAUUAAUCAGAAUGGAGAUAAACUGCAUUUAAACAUUUUACAUUAUUCCAACAACUAGAUUCUGCACUUCAAAUUUAAAAACGUUGACAUUUCAUACUGUUCAGUAUACUGUACAAGACUGAAGGUAAAUUUCCACAUAUCUUCCUAUCAACCUGCAAUUUUCUUAUUGCAGAGUUGGUUUUAGUCUAAAAAAAAAAUCAUACCCUGUUACUUAUUCAACCAGAGAUGGGAAAUCUCAACAGAGAAUAAUCUUUUGCAGCUGAUUUCCUAUACUCUCUUUUUCACAUAUAUAGGUUGCCAGAUUCUGAAAGUAUUCUUGCUAAGCCAAAAUCUACAUCUGGAGAUGUCUGAGUGAGGUUCUGCAGUUCAACCUGGACUGGGAGGGUGAACGGUGAAGGACUUGGAGAUACAUCAGGAACAGAAUCAACACGAACAACAGGAGUAGAGACUGGUUGCUGCUGAUAGUACAUCUGAAUGGGAAGUGGUAUAGCCCUCCGUUUUACUCCGACCACAUGAAUAUGUGCCUGCCCGUUGCUGCUGGAAUCCUCCACUCUCUUCACUGUAUGAUUUGGAAAGACCGUUCUGUAAAGUACAUAAUACUUAGUUUUGUUAACUAGCACACGAGCAAAAAAACACUGACUUCUAACAGUGUUUACAUAACAGCAGCAGGACAUUUGCUGCUACUCAUAUGAACCAGUAUGAUUCUAUAGUUAUAGAUUCUGUAAGGGUAGGGAGCAAAGAAAAAACAUAAAAGAUCAAUUCUCCAAUUUUAAAAUCAUUAUUAUUAACACUGUGGGGGUUUUAAUAAUUCUAUUGCAUAUAUAAUUAACAAAAAAGCCUGCAUCUAGGCAAUCAGUGUCUAUUUUAUGAACUUUGCAAAUAUCAAAAAGCUUUGAUAUCCGAUGACAAGAGUAUUAGCUAUAGACUAUUAUUCAAGACUACAAAGGGCGAAAGUCAUGUCUCUAACAUAUAAAAGUAGGUAGAAAAAAGUUUGCUCUCUUCUUUCUUUGAUAAAGCCUUCUAAUAUUCAAAUACAAACACCAGGUUUGAUUUCCAAAAUUUCCUUGUAUUUAAAUUUUCACCCUUACUACAACCUAGCCAAUAUUUCAAGUAGUAGAAAUAUUUAAAACUGGAUAUUUUGUCUAAGAGCAAGAGGUGUUCUAAGUGAUAUACAUGAACUUUGUUUGAAGUUAACAACUAUGCAUCCUACCUAAGACAUUUAUAAAAUCCAGUUGAAGUUAGGAUUCCACCACGAGCUAAUUUACUGCACGUUGAGAGGUACUCAGAAUACAUUUCUGCUCGAGAGACAGAACAAUCUGGAUUUACUUCAAAAUGAGCAUUUAGCCUAAAAAAGGAGGAAAAAUAAAUGGCAUUAUGCAUAGUAGAUUAUAGAAGAGUUCAUAUUUACAUACAGCAAAACCAUCUGAAGGCAAUGUAUUAUUAAAUAAUAUUUAUGCCUGUUAAUCAAUUUCUCUCAUGUUAUUAGCAAAAAAUGCACGUUAGGUUUUAGAUUGAUGAAACCAAAUAGAAAGAGAUUAACCAUGUAAUCAUAUUUAUUUUAGUAUAAAAAAUCAUGAACAACAAAUAUAAAAACUGUGCUCACAUCCCAGUGAGAACAGGGUUGGUCUGUUGGCAACAAAUACUCACUCUACAACAAGUAAGUGUUAUUCAACGACUAUCUACUCAAUUUCCUGUCUUGCAAUAAGUAAAAUAUAACAGAAAUUCCCAAUAAUGAGCUAUUUCCAUCGGAGAUGUGGAAAAUGGAGGAAAAACUGAGCUAAAAUUAAACUUGUGUUGCUUCUUGGAUCAAAUUCCUUGAGAAAAACUUACCCAAGCUUCCAACUACUCCUUAAACAAUGAUACUUCUUCCAUGCUGCACACUCCCAUUCCCCCAUUUCAGAGACUUUUAUUCCUAAUCCAUUACAAAGUAAUUCAAACUUCAGUAUGUCUUUUUCAUAUAGUGACUUCCAUCCAUAAAGAAGUUAGGAUUGGAGGCCAAAUUAUCUUCACAGGAUUCUUUUCUAGGAUUUACUAUAUACACAACAGACCAUGUAUAGCUGUUUAUAUAACGGACUCAAUACUUAUGAUAAGAUAACUUUAAAAUGAUUCUCUCCUUCUCCACUAGAACUGGCAGAAAUAUGCAAAUGAGUUUAUAAGGUCAAAUUUAUGCCUAAUAUACACACAUUGUGCAAUGGAUGUGGCACAUACUUUUUCCAACUUUCAUAAUUCUUUGAGUACUGAUUUUCAAAAGGACUAGAUACAAAAAACUUUUUUUGGUUUCAGCGUAGAAGACAAACAUUUCCAAGUAUUAUUGGAAGAGAUUCAUCAAGUAUAGGUGUAAAAAAUACAGAAGGUGAGGAAUAAGCAAAAAAUUAGAGAUAUUUAAAACUAUAACCUAUUUGAGCAAAGUGGAAAAGUCUAGAGAAAACUGCACAGGAACAAGAUACGAAAGCACCAAAAUAUGGAACACAGAAUGACAGGAGCAUGGAAUGGGAGACAAACAAUGUUCGAGAAUGGGAGAAAAGGGAUCAAAGAAAGAAAAAUUUUAAAGUAAUACAUCAUCAGAAAGUGAUCUUUUACAUUCAGUCUGUAAUCUUCUAAAGAGUUUAAGUUGAAAUUCAUAAACUAUGUGGAAGCUAUUAUCCAUGACAAAAUGAAAUCUAACCAAGUCUCCAUUUAUUUUUUUCAGAAAGUGGCUGACAUAGGACUAUUCAGUCUUCUCCAUAAAAUAUUAUUUUCAAGUUGCUUAUUUCUAGGGUAAACUCACUGGCUCUUCUAUCAUUUGAUUAGUUUCCCCUUACUAUACCCAAAAAAGAAAACUAUCAGUGAACAAGAAGUAUUGCUUGUGAUGAAAAAGGAAGGGACAUUUAACAACAAAAUCUGGUUUAUUUUCUUAAAGACAGUCCUGGUCAGUUUUAAUAAAAUACUGAUUUAAGGAAAAACAGAUUUUAUAAUCUGACAAAUCUUAUUUUCCUACAAAGUCAAAGGGUAACAUUUAACACAAAUUUUACUCUGAAAAGAAGUGGUGUAAUUAAUGAAAUUCUAGUCAAAGACUAUUUUAAUUCUGAAGAUUAUGAUGAAUAUUUUUCUUUUAAACUGUUCUAAAAUGCAGGUGAAAUGAUUUACAUUAUCCUUUCUUUGUAUAAAUGAUAUUCUCUACUCUGACUAAAAAGAAAUACAGAAAUAAAACAUUCUGGAAUGACUGUUGAAAUACA
Long non-coding RNA from Lynx canadensis (Canada lynx), 3281 nucleotides. RefSeq lists it as uncharacterized. The record is from RefSeq and is a predicted model, not a curated record. The transcript has 2 exons. Lineage: Eukaryota; Metazoa; Chordata; Mammalia; Carnivora; Felidae.